UCGGCACUGUUUUUCCGAGUCUAUGUUUCUAAGGACUAAACUAUGAAGUAUAGACCAAUGGGUAUAAAGAGAAAUCUUUAUGCCUCCCGUGUUUGGAAAGGAAAAAGGUAAUGGUUUAA
This 119-nucleotide non-coding RNA is filed under the name Paramaledivibacter caminithermalis. RNAcentral's name for it is "Clostridium caminithermale MoCo sequence". It matches the Rfam family "Molybdenum/Tungsten riboswitch aptamer (Moco RNA motif)". RNAcentral also lists the same sequence under 1 other name. Lineage: Bacteria; Bacillati; Bacillota; Clostridia; Peptostreptococcales; Caminicellaceae. The record is from RNAcentral.